Molecule: ribosomal RNA, 87 nt
Filed under: Fusarium asiaticum
Lineage: Eukaryota; Fungi; Ascomycota; Sordariomycetes; Hypocreales; Nectriaceae
Description: partial 28S ribosomal RNA
Source: RNAcentral
UUGACCUCGGAUCAGGUAGGAAUACCCGCUGAACUUAAGCAUAUCAAUAAGCGGAGGAAGAUCCACCCCCCCGCUUUGUAAAACCCC